RNAcentral lists this ribosomal RNA (170 nucleotides) under uncultured Planctomycetales bacterium. Its description in RNAcentral is "partial 16S ribosomal RNA". It matches the Rfam family "Bacterial small subunit ribosomal RNA", at positions 338 to 524 of the family's 1533-position model. Lineage: Bacteria; Pseudomonadati; Planctomycetota; Planctomycetia; Planctomycetales. The record is from RNAcentral.
CCUACGGGAGGCAGCAGUAACGAAUCUUCCGCAAUGCGCGAAAGCGUGACGGAGCAAUGCCGCGUGUAGGAUGAAGCCCCUCGGGGUGUAAACUGCUGUCAGGGUUUAGGAACACAAUGACCAGACCCAAAGGAAGAGACGACUAACUCUGUGCCAGCAGCCGCGGUAAU